ACGGACAUUUCGGUGUUAGUGGCGGACGGGUGAGUAACGCGUAGGGAUCUGUCCAUAAGAGGGGGAUAACUUUGGGAAACUGGAGCUAAUACCGCAUGAUACCUGAGGGUUAAAGGAGUGAUCCGCUUAUGGAGGAACCUGCGUUUGAUUAGCUGGUUGGUGGGGUAAUGGCCUACCAAGGCGAUGAUCGAUAGCUGGUUUGAGAGGAUGAUCAGCCACACUGGGACUGAGACACGGCCCAG
RNAcentral lists this ribosomal RNA (242 nucleotides) under uncultured bacterium. RNAcentral's name for it is "partial 16S ribosomal RNA". It matches the Rfam family "Bacterial small subunit ribosomal RNA", at positions 66 to 334 of the family's 1533-position model. The record is from RNAcentral.